ACGGAAGGCAGCAGUGGGGAAUAUUGCGCAAUGGAGGCAACUCUGACGCAGCAACGCCGCGUGAAGGAUGAAGGUUUUCGGAUUGUAAACUUCUUUGACACAGGACGAUAAUGACGGUACUGUGAAAACAAGCCACGGCUAACUACGUGCCAGCAGCCGCGGUAAUACGUAGGUGGCAAGCGUUGUCCGGAAUUACUGGGUGUAAAGGGCGAGUAGGCGGGAGAGAAAGUCAGCAGUGAAAUACCACGGCUUAACUGUGGGGCUGCUGUUGAAACUUCUUUUCUUGAGUGAUGGAGAGGCAGGCGGAAUUCCCGGUGUAGCGGUGAAAUGCGUAGAGAUCGGGAGGAACACCAGUGGCGAAGGCGGCCUGCUGGACAUUAACUGACGCUGAGGCGCGAAAGCGUGGGGAGCAAACAGGAUUAGAUACCCUGGUA
Molecule: ribosomal RNA, 434 nt
Filed under: uncultured Oscillospiraceae bacterium
Lineage: Bacteria; Bacillati; Bacillota; Clostridia; Eubacteriales; Oscillospiraceae
Description: bacterial SSU rRNA
Rfam family: Bacterial small subunit ribosomal RNA
Source: RNAcentral